Molecule: ribosomal RNA, 389 nt
Filed under: Embryophyta sp.
Lineage: Eukaryota; Viridiplantae; Streptophyta
Description: partial small subunit ribosomal RNA
Rfam family: Eukaryotic small subunit ribosomal RNA
Source: RNAcentral
AUUCCAGCUCCAAUAGCGUAUAUUAAAGUUGUUGCAGUUAAAACGCUCGUAGUUGGAUCUUGGGUCGUAAGGGUCGGUUCGCCUACUCGGUGUGCACCUGCCCUUCCGUCCCUUUUGUCGGCGGCGUGCUCCUGGCCUUAAUUGGCUGGGUCGCGGUUCCGGCGCUGUUAUUUUGAAAAAAUUAGAGUGCUCAAAGCAAGCUUAUGCUCUGAAUACAUUAGCAUGGAAUAACGUGAUAGGAGUCUGGUCCUAUUGUGUUGGCCUUCGGGACCGGAGUAAUGAUUAAUAGGGACUGUCGGGUGCAUUCGUAUUUCAUUGUCAGAGGUGAAAUUCUUGGAUUUAUGAAAGACGGACCACUGCGAAAGCAUUUGCCAAGGAUGUUUUCAUCG